GUUUCCAUAGUGUAGUGGUUGUCAUGUUUGCCUCACACGCAAAACGUCCCUGGUUCGAAACCCGGUGGAAACA
Phycodurus eques (leafy seadragon) is the source of this 73-nucleotide non-coding RNA. The record is from the annotation of a RefSeq genome assembly. NCBI's taxonomy places the organism in Eukaryota, Metazoa, Chordata, Actinopteri, Syngnathiformes, Syngnathidae.